This 435-nucleotide ribosomal RNA is filed under the name uncultured bacterium. RNAcentral's name for it is "partial 16S ribosomal RNA". It matches the Rfam family "Bacterial small subunit ribosomal RNA", at positions 28 to 507 of the family's 1533-position model. The record is from RNAcentral.
GAUGAACGCUGGCGGUAUGCUUAACACAUGCAAGUCGAACGGGCUCUUCGGAGUUAGUGGCGGACGGGUGAAUAACGCGUGAGAAUCUGGCUUUGGGUUCGGGACAACCACUGGAAACGGUGGCUAAUACCGGAUGUGCCGAGAGGUAAAAGAGAAAUUGCCUGAAGAUGAGCUCGCGUCUGAUUAGCUAGUUGGUGAGGUAAAGGCUCACCAAGGCAGCGAUCAGUAGCUGGUCUGAGGGGAUGACCAGCCACACUGGGACUGAGACACGGCCCAGACUCCUACGGGAGGCAGCAGUGGGGAAUUGUCCGCAAUGGGCGAAAGCCUGACGGAGCAAUACCGCGUGAGGGAAGAAGGCUCUUGGGUUGUAAACCUCUUUUCUUAGGGAGGAACAAAAUGACGGUACCUAAGGAAUCAGCAUCGGCUAACUCCGUG